Molecule: ribosomal RNA, 229 nt
Filed under: uncultured bacterium
Lineage: Bacteria
Description: partial 16S ribosomal RNA
Rfam family: Bacterial small subunit ribosomal RNA
Source: RNAcentral
UCCGUAGGUGGAUAAUUAAGUCAGAGGUGAAAUCCUGCAGCUCAACUGUAGAAUUGCCUUUGAUACUGGUUAUCUUGAGUCAUUAUGGAGUGGUUAGAAUGUGUAGUGUAGCGGUGAAAUGCAUAGAUAUUACACAGAAUACCGAUUGCGAAGGCAGAUCACUAAUAAUGUACUGACACUGAGGGACGAAAGCGUGGGGAGCGAACAGGAUUAGAUACCCUGGUAGUCC